Molecule: ribosomal RNA, 500 nt
Filed under: uncultured bacterium
Lineage: Bacteria
Description: partial 16S ribosomal RNA
Rfam family: Bacterial small subunit ribosomal RNA
Source: RNAcentral
AUUGAACGCUGGCGGAAUGCUUUACACAUGCAAGUCGAACGGCAGCACGGACUUCGGUCUGGUGGCGAGUGGCGAACGGGUGAGUAACAUAUCGGAACGUAUCCAAUAAUGGGGGAUAACGAGUCGAAAGAUUCGCUAAUACCGCAUACGCCCUACGGGGGAAAGCUGGGGACCGCCGGGCCUGGCGUUAAUGGAGCGGCCGAUAUCUGAUUGGCUAGUUGGUGUGGUACAGGCUCACCAAGGCGACGAUCCGUAGCUGGUCUGAGAGGACGACCAGGCACACUGGAACUGAGACAGGGCCCAGCAUCCUACGCGAGGCAGCAGUGGGGAAUUUUGGCCAAUGGGCGCAAGCCUGAUCCAGCCAUUCCGGGUGAGUGAAGAAGGCCUUCGGGUGGUAACGCUCUUUCGCAAGGGAAGAAAACUUAGCCACUAACAUUGGUUGAGGUUGACGGUACCUUGAUAAGAAGCACCGGCUAACUACGUGCCAGCCGCCGCGGUAA